GGCGUGCUUAACACAUGCAAGAAACACGCGAACGAGUUCUUCGGAACUUUAGUAGAGUGGCGCACGGGUGAGUAACGCGUAAGUAAUCUACCCUGGCAUCGGGAAUAACUCACCGAAAGGUGUGCUAAUACCGGAUACGCUGAUUUAUCAGGAAAGGUGGCCUCUUCAUGAAAGCUACUGUGCUGGGAGGAGCUUGCGUACCAUUAGCUAGUUGGUGGGGUAAUGGCCUACCAAGGCAACGAUGGUUAGCGGGUCUGAGAGGAUGAUCCGCCACACUGGAACUGGAACACGGACCAGACUCCUACGGGAGGCAGCAGUGAGGAAUAUUGCGCAAUGGGGGAAACCCUGACGGAGCGACGCCGCGUGGACGAAGAAUGCCGGAAGGUUGUAAAGUCCUUUUCCUGGGGGAGAAUAAUGCUUGGAGGUAAUGCCAAGCAGAUGACGUGAACCAGGGAAUAAGCCCCGGCUAAUUACGUGCCAGCAGCCGCGGUAACACGUAGGGGGCAAGCGUUGUUCGGAUUUAUUGGGCGUAAAGGGCGUGUAGGCGGUAAUGUAAGUCUGGUGUUAAAUACCUCGGCUCAACCGAGGAGGUGCGCUGGAAACUGUAUUACUAGAGUUAUGGAGGGGGAGCUGGAAUUCCUGGUGUAGGGGUGAAAUCUGUAGAGAUCAGGAAGAACACCGGAGGC
RNAcentral lists this ribosomal RNA (686 nucleotides) under uncultured delta proteobacterium. RNAcentral describes it as "bacterial SSU rRNA". It matches the Rfam family "Bacterial small subunit ribosomal RNA", at positions 41 to 716 of the family's 1533-position model. The record is from RNAcentral. Lineage: Bacteria; Deltaproteobacteria.